GCCUGCGUGUUGGAAUUGGUAGACAAAGGGGAUUCAAAAUCCCCCGCCGAAAGGCGUGGCGGUUCGAGUCCGCCCGCAGGUACCA
This 85-nucleotide transfer RNA is filed under the name Vibrio parahaemolyticus. RNAcentral describes it as "tRNA-Leu". It matches the Rfam family "tRNA". From Rfam's summary of the family: Transfer RNA (tRNA) molecules are approximately 80 nucleotides in length. Lineage: Bacteria; Pseudomonadati; Pseudomonadota; Gammaproteobacteria; Vibrionales; Vibrionaceae. The record is from RNAcentral.